AUAUAUAAAGAAAAGAUACAAGGCAUUGAAAAAUUGCAAGCCGAUAUAGUAUGUGUAACCAUAACAAACAAAUAUUUAAAUUUAAUUAUCAGAAAGCGAUAUUAUUUUAAAAAUCAUUAGCUCAAAUUAUAAUAUCUUAUGAGUUUGACAAUGAGUGUAAUUUAUGUAUCUUAUAAACUUCACAUAAUAUUUUGCUUUUAUUAAUAAACUCCCAUUUUGUU
Long non-coding RNA from Leptopilina heterotoma, 221 nucleotides. RefSeq lists it as uncharacterized. The transcript has 3 exons. The record is from RefSeq and is a predicted model, not a curated record. NCBI's taxonomy places the organism in Eukaryota, Metazoa, Arthropoda, Insecta, Hymenoptera, Figitidae.